UAGGGAAUCUUCCACAAUGGACGCAAGUCUGAUGGAGCAACGCCGCGUGAGUGAAGAAGGUUUUCGGAUCGUAAAGCUCUGUUGUUGGUGAAGCAGGAUAGAGGUAGUAACUGGCCUUUAUUUGACGGUAAUCAACCAGAAAGUCACGGCUAACUACGUGCCAGCAGCCGCGGUAAUACGAAGGUGGCAAGCGUUGUCCGGAUUUAUUGGGUGUAAAGCGAGCGCAGGCGGAAGAAUAAGUCUGAUGUUAAAGCCCUCGGCUUAACCAAGGAACUGCAUCGGAAACUGUUUUUCUUGAGUGCAGAAGAGGAAAGUGGAAUUCCAUGUGUAGCGGUGGAAUGCGUAGAUAUAUGGAAGAACACCAGUGGCGAAGGCGGCUCUCUGGUCUGCAACUGACGCUGAGGCUCGAAAGCAUGGGUAGCGAACAGG
RNAcentral lists this ribosomal RNA (429 nucleotides) under bacterium. RNAcentral's name for it is "partial 16S ribosomal RNA". It matches the Rfam family "Bacterial small subunit ribosomal RNA", at positions 355 to 776 of the family's 1533-position model. The record is from RNAcentral.